GGUCCGGUAGCUCAGCUGGAUAGAGCACUCGCCUUCUAAGCGAGUUGUCGCGAGUUCGAACCUCGCCCGGAUCA
RNAcentral lists this transfer RNA (74 nucleotides) under Streptococcaceae bacterium. RNAcentral's name for it is "tRNA-Arg". It matches the Rfam family "tRNA". From Rfam's summary of the family: Transfer RNA (tRNA) molecules are approximately 80 nucleotides in length. Their secondary structure includes four short double-helical elements and three loops (D, anti-codon, and T loops). Further hydrogen bonds mediate the characteristic L-shaped molecular structure. tRNAs have two regions of fundamental functional importance: the anti-codon, which is responsible for specific mRNA codon recognition, and the 3' end, to which the tRNAs corresponding amino acid is attached (by aminoacyl-tRNA synthetases). tRNAs cope with the degeneracy of the genetic code in two manners: having more than one tRNA (with a specific anti-codon) for a particular amino acid; and 'wobble' base-pairing, i.e. permitting non-standard base-pairing at the 3rd anti-codon position. Lineage: Bacteria; Bacillati; Bacillota; Bacilli; Lactobacillales; Streptococcaceae. The record is from RNAcentral.